This 484-nucleotide ribosomal RNA is filed under the name uncultured bacterium. RNAcentral describes it as "partial 16S ribosomal RNA". It matches the Rfam family "Bacterial small subunit ribosomal RNA", at positions 30 to 507 of the family's 1533-position model. The record is from RNAcentral.
AUUGAACGCUGGCGGCAGGCCUAACACAUGCAGGUCGAGCGGAUGAAGGGAGCUUGCUCCUGGAUUCAGCGGCGGACGGGUGAGUAAUGCCUAGGAAUCUGCCUGGUAGUGGGGGAUAACGUCCGGAAACGGGCGCUAAUACCGCAUACGUCCUGAGGGAGAAAGUGGGGGAUCUUCGGACCUCACGCUAUCAGCUGAUCCUAGGUCGGAUUAGCUAGUUGGUGGGGUAACGGCCUACCAAGGCGACGAUCCGUAACUGGUCUGAGAGGAUGAUCAGUCACACUGGAACUGAGACACGGUCCAGACUCCUACGGGAGGCAGCAGUGGGGAAUAGUGGACAAAGGGCGAAAGCCUGAUCCAGCCAUGCCGCGUGUGUGAAGAAGGUCUUCGGAUUGUAAAGCACUUUAAGUUGGGAGGAAGGGCAGUAAGUUAAUACCUUGCUGUUUUGACGUUACCAACAGAAUAAGCACCGGCUAACUUCGUG